GUUUCCAAUAAUUUGCAUGCACUCAAUUCACAGCCUUAAGAACUUCUUCCUGUACCAGUAACAACCUGUGUAGUUGACAUUGUAGUCAGGACUCAGCAUGGACUUGAGGACCCCUGUUCAGCUCCUUGGCCUCCUGUUGCUCUGGUUUCCAGGUGCCAGAUGUGAUAUCCAGAUGACCCAGUCUCCAUCCUCCCUCUCUGCAUCUCUGGGAGACAGAGUCACCAUCACUUGCAGUGCAAGUCAGGAUAUUCGCAAAUAUUUAAUGUGGUUGCAGCAGAAACCAGGGAAACCUCCUAAACCCCUGAUCUACUAUGCAUCCAAUUUGUAUGCUGGGGUUUCAUCCAGGUUCAGUGGCAGUGGGUCUGGCACAGAUUAUUCUCUCAGCAUCAGUAACCUAGAGGCUGAAGACCCUGCAAUUUACCACUGUGUACAGUAUGAUAAGUAUCCUCCCACAGUGACACAAGUCAUAACAUAA
Molecule: non-coding RNA, 475 nt
Organism: Mesocricetus auratus (golden hamster)
Lineage: Eukaryota; Metazoa; Chordata; Mammalia; Rodentia; Cricetidae
Source: the annotation of a RefSeq genome assembly